This is a non-coding RNA of Paramisgurnus dabryanus, 862 nucleotides long. The record is from RefSeq and is a predicted model, not a curated record. Lineage: Eukaryota; Metazoa; Chordata; Actinopteri; Cypriniformes; Cobitidae.
GUUCCGCUGAAGCUGAGCGGCCGGUACUGUAGCGCAUCGAAAAAAGAAAAAAAAAACUCUUUAACCACCGGCCUGAAAUGGACCGGCCGUUCUGGAUUGCUCCCGGUAUUUCCAAUGUCCAGUCCGCUCCCACCUAAACUCUGCAGGACACCGGCCCUCCAGGACCGAAGUUGCCCAUCCCUGAUUUAGGGGGACAUUUAGCAAAUAUUACAGCACAAACUGAACCGUGUUUUUGGAUGAUGCAGUUCAAGCAGAAGGUCAUCUCUUUCACUGUAAAUGGAGAUUUGCUUUGGGGACUUUGGAGGAGCACAGAAAUAGGCCUACAUGAAAAUUUAUUCAGACGAAGAGCAUUUUAUAACAAAAAAAGUUCAAUAUCCAGUCUGAGGUAAGACCAAGGAUCAUCAUAUUCUGCUGUUAUUAUGUGAAAACCAACAUGGCUUUUUGUCAAACUUGUUUGUAUGAACUGAAGCAUCCCAUAAACUGUGUUUAUAAAUAUCUGUACUUUUGUAAUACAUUGGGAUUGUGCUUUUUAGUUGUCUCGGAUGUUAAUAUAUGUCAAUUUAAUUAAAGGAACAGUAUGUAGGAUUGUGGCCAAAACUGGUAUUGCAAUCACAAAACGUGUGGCUAAAACUGGUACUGCAAUCACACAGCUGGUGGCCAAUGCACAACAUGACAACAUAAACAUCAGUUGAGGGCUGCAACUCCACUUUUUAAAUGAUAAUAUCCUGGCUAGACCAAUGUUGUCAGUGAUAUAAGUAUUUGAAAUGAAAAUUAUUUCUUAUUGUCUAGUGACAUUUCAGGGCCAUUUAAUGAUUAAUUUAUAUACAUUUCUUACAUACUGUUCCUUUAACACUUAAAUACA